AGAGUAUGAUACUGGCUCAGAACAAACGCUGGCGGCGUGUCUGAAUGAUGCAAGUCGUACGUAAACGGAAUCCUUCGGGGUUCUUAGUAAGUGGCGAACGAGUGAGUAACACGUGUGUAACCUACCUCUGGGUGGGGGACAACACUUCGAAAGAGGUGCUAAUACCCCAUAGAGUUACUUGAUAUAAAUCGUUUAGUAAUGAAAGGUGGCCUCUGCUUGCAAGCUACCGCCCAAAGAUGGGCACGCGGUCUAUUAGCUAGUUGGUGAGGUAAAAGCUCACCAAGGCAACAAUGGAUAGCUGGCCUGAGAGGGUGGUCGGCCAUACUGGGAUUGAGAUACGGCCCAGACUCCUACGGGAGGCAGCAAAUCGGAAUAAUCAGCAAUGGGCGCAAGCCUGACCGUGCGACGCUGCGUGAGCGAUUAAGGCCUUCGGGUUGUAAAGCUCUGUGUUAUGGGAAGAAAAACUGAUAGAUGAAUAAUUUGUCGGCCUGACUGUACCAUAAUAGAAAGCCCCGGCUAACUUACGUGCCAGCAGCCGCGGUAAUACGUAGGGGGCAAGCGUUGUUCGGAAUCACUGGGCGUAAAGGGCGUACAGGCGGCCAUAUAAGUCGGUUGUGAAAUUCUCGGGCUUAACCUUAGAUCUGCACCCGAUACUGUAUGGCUUGAGAUCAGGAGAGGAGAGUGGAAUAUGUGGUGUAGCGGUGAAAUGCGUAGAUAUCACAUAGAACACCGGUGGCGAAGGCGGCUCUCUGGCCUGAUUCAGACGCUGACGCGCGAAAGCUAGGGUAGCGAACGGGAUUAGAUACCCCGGUAGUCCUAGCCGUAAACGAUGGGUACUAAGUGUAGGAGGUAUCGACCCCUUCUGUGCUGUAGCUAACGCAUUAAGUACCCCGCCUGGGGACUACGGCCGCAAGGCUAAAACUCAAAGUAAUUGACGGGGGCCCGCACAAGCGGUGGAGCAUGUCGCUCAAUUCGAAGCAACGCGAAGAACCUUAUCCAGUGGCUUGACAUCCUCUGACAACCGUGGAAACACGGCUUUCCCUUCGGGGACAGAGUGACAGGUGCUGCAUGGCAGUCGUCAGCUCGUGUCGUGAGAUGUUGGGUUAAGUCCCGCAACGAGCGCAACCCCUAUUUCUAGUUACCAGCGGGUAAUGCCGGGGACUCUAGAGAGACUGCCGGCGAUAAGCCGGAGGAAGGGGG
Molecule: ribosomal RNA, 1200 nt
Filed under: metagenome
Description: bacterial SSU rRNA
Rfam family: Bacterial small subunit ribosomal RNA
Source: RNAcentral